CCAAAUCUGAAACCACCAUCAUCUGAGGCUGCACCAAUGAUGACUUCAUGUUAUAAAAAUGUAUUGUGCUGUCAUAAGUGAUAAACCCAAUCUGCGUUCUGGGGAAGCCAGGCAAGUCAUCCAAACAAGACUUGAUAGUUUGGGCCACAACCUCAAUCAUGCCACUUCUAACAGCUGAUAUUGAAACAUCAAUGAGAAAGAAAUAUAAUGGUGGCAUUGGAGGCCGCACCAUAUACUCAGUUGAAGCAACAAACUCCACACUACCCUUUGUAAGCUCAGGUCGCUGAUCCAAAUCAACUCUUCUACCAGUGGCAUCUAAAUGGGCAAAAUACUCACCAGGAACAUCAUUAAGUAGAGAACAGAUGUUGCAACGCCACUUUCUUCCAGCAUCUGUAAAGGUUACAUAUGG
RNAcentral lists this unclassified non-coding RNA (409 nucleotides) under Hevea brasiliensis (rubber tree). The record is from RNAcentral. Lineage: Eukaryota; Viridiplantae; Streptophyta; Magnoliopsida; Malpighiales; Euphorbiaceae.